CAAGUAAGAUUAUUUUAUGUUACAUCCUAGCAUUCAUGGUUCAGCCAUUUUAAUAAAUACUAACCAAGCAUGUUAUAUUAGAUGACCCAGCUAGCUCGGUUGAUACAUCAAUCUCGCAUAAUGAAUCAACAUAUCCUCCUAAAGCUACGGGCACGUCUGAUGUAAUUGCAGAUAAAAAUAUAGAAGAUACAAAGUGAUGGGUUCCGACAUAUGCACUGAUGUAACGAUGACAGACCGCACUGAAACACCACGAGAAGAGGAGACAUGGAUAUGGACUUUGGAGAUGCACGGAAAGAAUCCAUUGAGGGUUCAUAUGCGAUGUUGCUGCAAGGGGACAA
Triticum dicoccoides is the source of this 338-nucleotide long non-coding RNA. RefSeq lists it as uncharacterized. Lineage: Eukaryota; Viridiplantae; Streptophyta; Magnoliopsida; Poales; Poaceae. The transcript is spliced from 3 exons. The record is from RefSeq and is a predicted model, not a curated record.